This is a long non-coding RNA of Diabrotica virgifera virgifera (western corn rootworm), 1450 nucleotides long. RefSeq lists it as uncharacterized. The transcript has 3 exons. The record is from RefSeq and is a predicted model, not a curated record. NCBI's taxonomy places the organism in Eukaryota, Metazoa, Arthropoda, Insecta, Coleoptera, Chrysomelidae.
UAAACUCCGUCCUGUGAAAAUGUGAUGUGAUUCUACAUGUUUGACAGAUUUAACUAACCUAUAACCUAUAAUUCCAAAAAAGCAUAAGGGUACACCGGCAUUUCCUAGAUCAUCCUCGUUCGAGUUAUAGUGUUGAAGGGAGUCAGCAUAAUCUAAAAAUAAUAAAAAAGGUUGCAGUUAUUGGUACAGGAAACGAAAGUAACAUUUGGCAUGAAGGAGAUGAUCGCCAGUUCAACUUUUAUGGUAGUUUCUUGCUUCACUAUGACGACAUCUAUUAUUGAUUUCGAACUUCUGCUUCUGACAGAUCGAAUAGUAAAGACGGCGAGAGACGGUUCCCCAAAAGGAAGACGAUCAGUGGUAUGGAAACACCAUGAUGAAAACUAUGGCGAGAAAUUUUACUGGAGGCACACUCAAAAACAGACAGAGUCAUGUCUACAGAAAAAGUAGUAGAAGAAGAAGAAGAAAUAAAAAUAAUUUCUGCUUGGGCUGGUCAAAGUAUAUUUGUGAGUAUCUUUGUCUUCGUAAAAUCCAUUCAAAAUUUUUAGGGAGUUUUGUUCGCAGAUCUCUAUUCGCCAUUGUCAUUGUUUAUAUUUUCUCAAUGCUUUUGAACUUUUUCAUGUACUUUUCUGACUGUCCAAGCAUUAAAGUCGUCGCCCAGUGGAACAAUUUCUUUUCUACUUCCUAUAUUAUUAAUUUGGUCUGAUAAGUUCCUGUAAAAUCCUUGUUUGAUACUAAACUUACGUGCAUAGAAAUCGGCCCACCUAAAAAUUUGGUCAUUUUUGAUGACUCGUAUUUCCUAAACCUGUUGGCCGAUUUAAAUGAUCUCUUGAACGUGUUAUAGCCCGAUUCUUUAACAAUACCACUGUAACAAUAUUGUUGCUAAACAGAAAAAAUUUUAUUGUGUACCGGGUGUACCAAUCAAACUGUGUUUUUUCCUUAAAGUUCGCAUCACCCUGUGGAAUAUUAUAGCAUAUAUAAAAUACUGAAUUUAAAACUCAACUAUACCCUCUGGUUUUGUUAACAUUCUGUUUUUUGAUUCAUUCGUUUAUGUUGGAUAAUAAAAAAGUUAGGUACUUUAACAACUAGACAUGUUCUUCAUCAAUACACGGUGUUUCUAAAUAAGUGCGACAAACUUUAAGGGGUAAUUCUGCAUGAAAAAAUAAUGACAGUUAACUUGAUAAACGUUUGUCCGCAAAUGUUUCGUUUCCGAGAUACGGGAUGUUGAAUUUUUUCUUACAAACUGACGAUUUAUUUAUUGCUUUAAAACCAGUUGAGAUAUGCAAAUGAAAUUUGGUAGGUUUUAUAAUAGAUAGUUGACCGAUCAUAUUACCCGUAUGUACGUCAAUGGUGAAUAUUAAAUUCUUAAUUUUGUGUCAAAAAAUCCGCAAUAACUAUCUCUUAAAACCUACCAAAUUUCAUAUUCAUAUCUGAACUGGUUUUAAAGCAAUAA